AGUGAACGCUGGCGGUAGGCCUAACACAUGCAAGUCGAACGGCAGCACAGUAAGAGCUUGCUCUUACGGGUGGCGAGUGGCGGACGGGUGAGGAAGACAUCGGAAUCUACUUUUUCGUGGGGGAUAACGUAGGGAAACUUACGCUAAUACCGCAUACGACCUACGGGUGAAAGCAGGGGAUGUUCGGACCUUGCGCGAUUGAAUGAGCCGAUGUCGGAUUAGCUAGUUGGCGGGGUAAAGGCCCACCAAGGCGACGAUCCGGAGCUGGUCUGAGAGGAUGAUCAGCCACACUGGAACUGAGACACCGUCCAGACUCCUACGGGAGGCAGCAGUGGGGAAUAUUGGACAAUGGGCGCAAGCCUGAUCCAGCCAUACCGCGUGGGUGAAGAAGGCCUUCGGGUUGUAAAGCCCUUUUGUUGGGAAAGAAAAGCAGCAGGUUAAUACCCCGCUGUUCUGACGGUACCCAAAGAAUAAGCACCGGCUAACUUCGUG
Molecule: ribosomal RNA, 492 nt
Filed under: uncultured bacterium
Lineage: Bacteria
Description: partial 16S ribosomal RNA
Rfam family: Bacterial small subunit ribosomal RNA
Source: RNAcentral